This 899-nucleotide small RNA is filed under the name Pongo abelii (Sumatran orangutan). RNAcentral describes it as "processed transcript". Lineage: Eukaryota; Metazoa; Chordata; Mammalia; Primates; Hominidae. The record is from RNAcentral.
CGUUGGCUCCAGACAAAUAAACAUGGAGUCCAUCUUCCACGAGAAACAAGAAGGCUCACUUUGUGCUCAACAUUGCCUGAAUAACUUAUUGCAAGGAGAAUAUUUUAGCCCUGUGGAAUUAUCCUCAAUUGCACAUCAGCUGGAUGAGGAGGAGAGGAUGAGAAUGGCAGAAGGAGGAGUUACUAGUGAAGAUUAUCGCACGUUUUUACAGCAGCCUUCUGGAAAUAUGGAUGACAGUGGUUUUUUCUCUAUUCAGUGGUUUAACUUGAAUUCUCUCUUGACGGGUCCAGAAUUAAUAUCAGAUACAUAUCUUGCACUUUUCUUGGCUCAAUUACAACAGGAAGGUUAUUCUAUAUUUGUUGUUAAGGGUGAUCUGCCAGAUUGCGAAGCUGACCAACUCCUGCAGAUGAUUAGGGUCCAACAGAUGCACCGACCAAAACUUAUUGGAGAAGAAUUAGCACAACUAAAAGAGCAAAGAGUCCAUAAAACAGACCUGGAACGAGUGUUAGAAGCAAAUGAUGGCUCAGGAAUGUUAGACGAAGACGAGGAGGAUUUGCAGAGGGCUCUGGCACUAAGUCGCCAAGAAAUUGACAUGGAAGAUGAGGAAGCAGAUCUCCGCAGGGCUAUUCAGCUAAGUAUGCAAGGUAGUUCCAGAAAUAUAUCUCAAGAUAUUCCACAGACAUCAGGUACAAAUCUUACUUCAGAAGAGCUUCGGAAGAGACGAGAAGCCUACUUUGAAAAGUAAAGUAGUUGACAGCAGCAAAAGCAGCAACAGCAGCCGCAAAAGCAGCAACAGCAGCCGCAACAGCAGCAGCAGCAGCAGCAGGGGGACCUAUCAGGACAGAGUUCACAUCCAUGUGAAAGGCCAACCACCAGUUCAGGAGCACUUGGGAGUGAUC